CACCCGCUUACCAAACCUUAUCAAACUCCGAAUACCGUGCAAUGGAACGUGGCAGUGAGACAGUGGGGGAUAAGCUUCAUUGUCGAGAGGGAAACACCCCAGACCAGCAGCUAAGGUGCCUAAAUAACGCUCAGUGGAAAGGAUGUGGGAUUACACAGACAGUGAGGAUGUUGGCUUAGAAGCAGCCACCAUUUAAAAAAUGCGUAAUAGCUUACUCAUCGAGUGAUCCUGCGCCGAAAAUGAUUGGCGAUCAAGCGUUAUACCGAAGCUCUGGACUUUGCCGCAAGGCAGAGUGGUAGAAGAGCGUUGCAUGCGCGUCGAAGGGCGAUGGCGACUGACCCUGGAGCACAUGCAAGUGAGUAUGCAGACAUGAGUAACGUUAAGCCGGGUGAAAUCCCCGGCCGCCGUAAACCCGAGGUUUCCAGGGCAACGUGUUUCGUCCCUGGGUUAGCCGGGACCUAAGCCGAGGCCGAGAGGCGUAGGCGAUGGACAUCAGGUUAAUAAUCCUGAGCUCGCAACCCUUAAACUGGGGGGACGCAUGAGAAAAGAUGACUAGGUUAUUGAAUUCCGAGUUGAGUCCACGGACUCAGCGCAUCAUUGGAUCGAGUGCCA
Molecule: ribosomal RNA, 612 nt
Filed under: Agathobacter rectalis
Lineage: Bacteria; Bacillati; Bacillota; Clostridia; Lachnospirales; Lachnospiraceae
Description: partial 23S ribosomal RNA
Rfam family: Bacterial large subunit ribosomal RNA
Source: RNAcentral